Molecule: ribosomal RNA, 466 nt
Filed under: uncultured bacterium
Lineage: Bacteria
Description: partial 16S ribosomal RNA
Rfam family: Bacterial small subunit ribosomal RNA
Source: RNAcentral
GACGAACGCUGGCGGCGUGCUUAACACAUGCAGGUCGAACGGUAAGGCUCCAGCUUGCUGGGGUACACGAGUGGCGAACGGGUGAGUAACACGUGGGUGACCUGCCCUGCACUUCGGGAUAAGCCUGGGAAACUGGGUCUAAUACCGGAUAGGACCAUGGUGUGGAUACUGUGGUGGAAAGUUUUUUCGGUGUGGGAUGGGCCCGCGGCCUAUCAGCUUGUUGGUGGGGUAAUGGCCUACCAAGGCGGCGACGGGUAGCCGGCCUGAGAGGGUGGACGGCCACAUUGGGACUGAGACACGGCCCAGACUCCUACGGGAGGCAGCAGUGGGGAAUAUUGCACAAUGGGCGGAAGCCUGAUGCAGCGACGCCGCGUGGGGGAUGACGGCCUUCGGGUUGUAAACUCCUUUCACCAUCGACGAAGGGUUUCUGACGGUAGAUGGAGAAGAAGCACCGGCUAACUACGUG